This 447-nucleotide ribosomal RNA is filed under the name uncultured bacterium. RNAcentral describes it as "partial 16S ribosomal RNA". It matches the Rfam family "Bacterial small subunit ribosomal RNA", at positions 330 to 792 of the family's 1533-position model. The record is from RNAcentral.
UCCAGACUCCUACGGGAGGCAGCAGUGGGGAAUAUUGCACAAUGGGGGGAACCCUGAUGCAGCGACGCCGCGUGGGCGAGGAAGUAUUUCGGUAUGUAAAGCCCUAUCGGCAGGGAAGAAGAAAUGACGGUACCUGAAGAAGAAGCCCCGGCUAACUACGUGCCAGCAGCCGCGGUAAUACGUAGGGGGCAAGCGUUAUCCGGAUUUACUGGGUGUAAAGGGGGCGCAGACGGCGAUGCAAGCCAGGAGUGAAAGCCCGGGGCCCAACCCCGGGACUGCUCUUGGAACUGCGUGGCUGGAGUGCAGGAGGGGCAGGCGGAAUUCCUGGUGUAGCGGUGAAAUGCGUAGAUAUCAGGAGGAACACCGGUGGCGAAGGCGGCCUGCUGGACUGCAACUGACGUUGAGGCCCGAAAGCGUGGGGAGCAAACAGGAUUAGAUACCCCCGUA